GCUCAUCACAACCUCCACCUCCCGGGCCCAAGCGAUUCUCCUGCCUCAGCCUCCCGAGUAGCUGGGAUUACAGGCACGUGCCACUAUGGCCUGGCUAAUUUUUGUAGUUUUAGUAGAGAAAGGGUUUCACCAUGUUGGCCAGGCUGGUCUUGAACUCCUGACCUCAAAUGAUCCACCUGCCUCGGCCUCCCAAAAUGCUGGGAUU
This 205-nucleotide long non-coding RNA is filed under the name Homo sapiens (human). RNAcentral describes it as "HSALNT0360515". The record is from RNAcentral. Lineage: Eukaryota; Metazoa; Chordata; Mammalia; Primates; Hominidae.